ACUCCUACGGGAGGCAGCAGUGGGGAAUAUUGCACAAUGGGGGAAACCCUGAUGCAGCCAUGCCGCGUGUGUGAAGAAGGCCUUCGGGUUGUAAAGCACUUUCAGUUGUGAGGAAGGUGGUGUCGUUAAUAGCGGCAUCAUUUGACGUUAGCAACAGAAGAAGCACCGGCUAACUCCGUGCCAGCAGCCGCGGUAAUACGGAGGGUGCGAGCGUUAAUCGGAAUUACUGGGCGUAAAGCGCAUGCAGGUGGUUUGUUAAGUCAGAUGUGAAAGCCCGGGGCUCAACCUCGGAACUGCAUUUGAAACUGGCAGACUAGAGUACUGUAGAGGGGGGUAGAAUUUCAGGUGUAGCGGUGAAAUGCGUAGAGAUCUGAAGGAAUACCGGUGGCGAAGGCGGCCCCCUGGACAGAUACUGACACUCAGAUGCGAAAGCGUGGGGAGCAAACAGGAUUAGAUACCCUGGUAGCACAGAG
RNAcentral lists this ribosomal RNA (473 nucleotides) under uncultured bacterium. Its description in RNAcentral is "bacterial SSU rRNA". It matches the Rfam family "Bacterial small subunit ribosomal RNA", at positions 335 to 799 of the family's 1533-position model. The record is from RNAcentral.